This 292-nucleotide ribosomal RNA is filed under the name uncultured bacterium. RNAcentral describes it as "partial 16S ribosomal RNA". It matches the Rfam family "Bacterial small subunit ribosomal RNA", at positions 505 to 796 of the family's 1533-position model. The record is from RNAcentral.
GUGUCAGCAGCCGCGGUAAGACGAACCGUGCGAACGUUGUUCGGAAUCACUGGGCUUAAAGGGCGCGUAGGCGGGCUCGCAAGUCAGGGGUGAAAGCCCGCGGCUCAACCGCGGAAGCGCCUUUGAUACUGCGGGCCUCGAGGGGGGUAGGGGCGUGCGGAACUUCCGGUGGAGCGGUGAAAUGCGUAGAUAUCGGAAGGAACACCGGUGGCGAAAGCGGCGCGCUGGACCCCUUCUGACGCUGAGGCGCGAAAGCCAGGGGAGCAAACGGGAUUAGAUACCCCUGUAGUCC